CAUCCGUUCUAUGGUUGUAGAAUAAACCAAAACAUUUCAAGUCCUCUCUCUCAGUCUGUCUGAGAUCAUAUUCGCUCAACCUCCUCAUCGUUCCCCACCUAACUCGACCAUCACGUACUCGUCACACCCAAAGGGAUACGAGAAGUACUCCUCGUCCGACCACCAGCACCAGCACCAUCACCACCAAGAUGCUCCGCCGACAGGUAUCCCUGUCCGCUCCAGCACUGAACCAUAUUUUACUACUUCUAACGAAGACAUGAGCUCCCACACAGUGGCCACUCCCACAUGACCCACCCCCCUCCCUAUCCCCGCCCUCGUGCUCUCGUCCCUUGAUCCACCGGCCUCUGCAACUGCUUCUCCGAUCUCAAAAACUGUUUCACUGAGGAUGUCGUUCAUGGUUGGAUACGGUGCACGCUACCCACAGAUGAUACACCACCGGAGCAGCUCAUCACCGUCGGUGCAUGCCCACCCGGCCCGCAUCGGGUGCAAAGCCGGGUCUAGAUGAUACUUCUUAAGUCCAAAGCCCAACCCCAAUUUGCUGGUGGGAGCCAUCGUUGGUGAGCCCAACAGCUCAGCCUCGUUCCCAGACUCGAGGCCUUUCUUCCUCCAAGAAUCCAAGCCCACCACUUACAUCAAUUGGCCGUUGGUGGGCCUACUUUCAUAUUUUUCAGCCCACUAUUGAUUUCAACACCCAAAUGUCAAUUGUGAGGAGUGUAGUGGUGCUCUAAUCUAGGUCACCCAUGUACCCUGCCCCAAUUAUUCUGAAAUAAUUAUAAUUGUAUCCAAAUCCCAAAUUGAUGAA
Non-coding RNA from Malus domestica (apple), 802 nucleotides. The record is from RefSeq and is a predicted model, not a curated record. NCBI's taxonomy places the organism in Eukaryota, Viridiplantae, Streptophyta, Magnoliopsida, Rosales, Rosaceae.